RNAcentral lists this ribosomal RNA (533 nucleotides) under uncultured bacterium. Its description in RNAcentral is "bacterial SSU rRNA". It matches the Rfam family "Bacterial small subunit ribosomal RNA", at positions 977 to 1509 of the family's 1533-position model. The record is from RNAcentral.
GGCCUUGACAUACUAAGAACUUUCCAGAGAUGGAUUGGUGCCUUCGGGAACUUAGAUACAGGUGCUGCAUGGCUGUCGUCAGCUCGUGUCGUGAGAUGUUGGGUUAAGUCCCGNAACGAGCGCAACCCUUUUCCUUAUUUGCCAGCGGGUCAUGCCGGGAACUUUAAGGAUACUGCCAGUGACAAACUGGAGGAAGGCGGGGACGACGUCAAGUCAUCAUGGCCCUUACGGCCAGGGCUACACACGUGCUACAAUGGUCGGUACAAAGGGUUGCUACCUCGCGAGAGGAUGCUAAUCUCAAAAAGCCGAUCGUAGUCCGGAUCGCAGUCUGCAACUCGACUGCGUGAAGUCGGAAUCGCUAGUAAUCGCGGAUCAGAAUGCCGCGGUGAAUACGUUCCCGGGCCUUGUACACACCGCCCGUCACACCAUGGGAGUUUGUUGCACCAGAAGUAGGUAGUCUAACCGCAAGGAGGACGCUUACCACGGUGUGGCCGAUGACUGGGGUGAAGUCGUAACAAGGUAAGCGUAGAUGA